UACGGAGGGGGCUAGCGUUGUUCGGAAUUACUGGGCGUAAAGCGCACGUAGGCGGCUUUGUAAGUUAGAGGUGAAAGCCCGGGGCUCAACCCCGGAAUUGCCUUUAAGACUGCAUCGCUAGAAUUGUGGAGAGGUAAGUGGAACUCCGAGUGUAGAGGUGAAAUUCGUAGAUAUUCGGAAGAACACCAGUGGCGAAGGCGACUUACUGGACACAUAUUGACGCUGAGGUGCGAAAGCGUGGGGAGCAAACAGG
This 253-nucleotide ribosomal RNA is filed under the name uncultured bacterium. RNAcentral's name for it is "partial 16S ribosomal RNA". It matches the Rfam family "Bacterial small subunit ribosomal RNA", at positions 524 to 776 of the family's 1533-position model. The record is from RNAcentral.